RNAcentral lists this ribosomal RNA (208 nucleotides) under uncultured bacterium. Its description in RNAcentral is "partial 16S ribosomal RNA". It matches the Rfam family "Bacterial small subunit ribosomal RNA", at positions 568 to 774 of the family's 1533-position model. The record is from RNAcentral.
CUCGUAGGCGGUUUGGUAAGUCGGGUGUGAAAACUUGAGGCUCAACCUCAAGAGGCCACCCGAUACUGCUAUGACUAGAGUACGGUAGGGGAGCGGGGAAUUCCUGGUGUAGCGGUGAAAUGCGCAGAUAUCAGGAGGAACACCAGUGGCGAAGGCGCCGCUCUGGGCCGUAACUGACGCUGAGGAGCGAAAGCGUGGGUAGCAAACA